CCAGACUCCUACGGGAGGCAGCAGUGGGGGAUAUUGCACAAUGGAGGAAACUCUGAUGCAGCGACGCCGCGUGAGUGAAGAAGUAUUUCGGUAUGUAAAGCUCUAUCAGCAGGGAAGAUGAUGACGGUACCUGACUAAGAAGCCCCGGCUAACUACGUGCCAGCAGCCGCGGUAAUACGUAGGGGGCAAGCGUUAUCCGGAUUUACUGGGUGUAAAGGGAGCGCAGGCGGUUUUGCAAGUUGAGAGUGGAAGCAGGGGGCUCAACCCCCUGACUGCUCCCAAAACUGUAAAACUUGAGUAUGGGAGAGGCAGGCGGAAUUCCUAGUGUAGCGGUGAAAUGCUUAGAUAUUAGGAAGAACACCGGUGGCGAAGGCGGCCUGCUGGACCAAAACUGACGCUGAGGCUCGAAAGCGUGGGUAGCAAACAGGAUUAGAUACCCUGGUAGUCCACGCUGUAAACGAUGAAUACUAGGUGCUGGGAGGCAUAAGCCUUUCGGUGCCGUCGCAAACGCAUUAAGUAUUCCACCUGGGGAGUACGUUCGCAAGAAUGAAACUCAAAGGAAUUGACGGGGGCCCGCACAAG
This 582-nucleotide ribosomal RNA is filed under the name uncultured bacterium. RNAcentral's name for it is "bacterial SSU rRNA". It matches the Rfam family "Bacterial small subunit ribosomal RNA", at positions 331 to 929 of the family's 1533-position model. The record is from RNAcentral.